This is a non-coding RNA of Delphinapterus leucas (beluga whale), 1766 nucleotides long. The record is from RefSeq and is a predicted model, not a curated record. NCBI's taxonomy places the organism in Eukaryota, Metazoa, Chordata, Mammalia, Artiodactyla, Monodontidae.
GUACUAACCACUAUACGAUCACGGCGAGCUACUGGGACGCCACGAGGAGCGCAUCAUUGAGUGUCGUCCUCGUCUAGGUGGCUGCCGCUCUCGCCUUCCCAAGCCGCUCACUGUCGACCAGGCCCCUCUGGCCCUGGCGCCCAGCCCGAAGUGGAGUAGGGGCGCCGUGGACGCCUGGCCGAAGUCUCUGCUGGUCGUCCGCACGACCCGUGAAGGAGAGGACAUGAAAGUCCUCUGCAAACUAAAGGACUCCUAGGAGGCCAGGCCUACGUCCGGGACUCUCACGCAGCCUGUACGAAUGUGAGGCCCGGGGGUCGCUCGAAUGGCGGCGCUGGGCCCCUAUCACACCCACCGUGCCCUGGCGCUCACGCUAUCUGAAUGGGCUCUUGCUAGGAAUGGGGCCGCCUCUUAAAUCCCACAAGAAGGAAAAUCAGUUCGGACCCAGCCGCACAACUUCCUUCGAGAUGCGGAGUAAAGGGAACUCGCAGAAAACACACGCCUCGGUAAUGAAGCAGUGGGAUCUGGCGGCCCGCAAAAAGCCACUGCCUACUGUGGACUCGGCCUGGUUCUAGGCGCCAUGGAGGCGAGAGCACUGAUGUACAAGAAGAAGAAUCAGACCCAGUCCCUGCUGCGCCCAGGGACGCAACAGAGGAGGGCACCGUGUCCGGCGGGAGCCCUACGGAGGGACGAGUCAGGGCCGUCGCGGGAAUAAGAGAAACAAGGAAGCGGGUGCUGGAGGCGGGGAGAACGGCAGGGUGUGUUCACUGAGUCCCUUCUAAGUGGACAGCCCAGUUCUGCGGGCAUCUACAUUAUCCGUAGAGAGAAGCCCUGAGGAGCGCACCCCGGCAGGUUUGGGGUCGCUGGAAGGGUCUCCGGGACAGAGGAGAUGGGUGUCCUCCAAGGAAUGAGAGUUACACAGCUUGUGAACACUCAGCUCCGGCCAGUCCCGUCUCUGGAUGCCCAAGUGGUACCCCCUAAACUCUUACAUGGAACCCACCCUUUCCCACUGCAUCAUCCCCACCUCCCGUGGCUAAUGGGCCAAAACAGGAGAGAACCAGACCAACUGACAAGAGAGCAAUGCGCCUGCGCAUUCUCAGACCCGGCCUUAGGCCGGAACCCGCCCCAUAGGUGGACCUUUUGGUGACGUGCUGAAUGGGAAGGCCUUUAACUGUUGAAGAAGACAAUCAGAAAGGGCCGCUGACAGGUCCCCGGUAGCUCGCCGUGAUCGUAUAGUGGUUAGUACUCUGCGUUGUGGCCGCAGCAACCUCGGUUCGAAUCCGAGUCACGGCAUUGUGGGAACAAUGGCACGGCAAGGGGCUUAUCUUUUCUAAUUCCUUUUUUUCCCCCCAGCCCAUAACACUUUGUAUAAAUCGUGACUCAUUUUUUAAAAAUGAAACGCUGCAUCUCUCUCCUCUGAAAACUGAAACACCUCUAUGAUCACCACCUUCAGUAAUUCUCAUUUAAUUAUCUGAAUACAGCUUUAGAUCAAACAGUUGUAACCCCUUACCUCCUGAAAAUAAAUGGAAAAUCAGUGUCUAAAUCAUUCUCCUACACCAACAAAACAGCGCCCCUGUGGCCUUGCGAUUUUUUUCCUUUUCAUACAUUUAUUUUAAAAAAUGGUGUAUUCAUUAUCAAAUAGAGAAUACAUAUGCACAAGCCAGUGAAAAGUGUCUCCCUCUCAUUGUUCACCCUAUCUACCAAUUAUUGCCAGUUUCCAAUAUAUUUUUAUGUGGCAGUCUUUGUGUAAAUAAAUAUUUAUAUAUGUA